This 433-nucleotide ribosomal RNA is filed under the name uncultured bacterium. Its description in RNAcentral is "partial 16S ribosomal RNA". It matches the Rfam family "Bacterial small subunit ribosomal RNA", at positions 29 to 507 of the family's 1533-position model. The record is from RNAcentral.
AACGAACGCUGGCGGCAUGCCUAACACAUGCAAGUCGAACGAGACCUUCGGGUCUAGUGGCGCACGGGUGCGUAACGCGUGGGAACCUGCCCUUAGGUUCGGAAUAACUCCCCGAAAGGGGUGCUAAUACCGGAUAAUGUCUUCGGACCAAAGAUUUAUCGCCUUUGGAUGGGUCCGCGUUGGAUUCGCUAGUUGGUAGGGUAAAAGCCUACCAAGGCGACGAUCCAUAGCUGGUCUGAGAGGAUGAGCAGCCACACUGGGACUGAGACACGGCCCAGACUCCUACGGGAGGCAGCAGUGGGGAAUAGUGGACAAUGGGCGAAAGCCUGAUCCAGCAAUGCCGCGUGAGUGAUGAAGGCCUUAGGGUUGUAAAGCUCUUUUACCCGGGAUGAUAAUGACAGUACCGGGAGAAUAAGCGCCGGCUAACUCCGUG